This 441-nucleotide ribosomal RNA is filed under the name uncultured bacterium. Its description in RNAcentral is "bacterial SSU rRNA". It matches the Rfam family "Bacterial small subunit ribosomal RNA", at positions 958 to 1398 of the family's 1533-position model. The record is from RNAcentral.
AACGCGAAGAACCUUACCAGGUCUUGACAUCCCGCUGACCGCUCUAGAGAUAGAGUUUUCCCUUCGGGGACAGCGGUGACAGGUGGUGCAUGGUUGUCGUCAGCUCGUGUCGUGAGAUGUUGGGUUAAGUCCCGCAACGAGCGCAACCCUUGAUCUUAGUUGCCAGCAUUCAGUUGGGCACUCUAAGGUGACUGCCGGUGAUAAACCGGAGGAAGGUGGGGAUGACGUCAAAUCAUCAUGCCCCUUAUGACCUGGGCUACACACGUGCUACAAUGGACGGUACAGAGGGUCGCAACCCCGCGAGGGUGAGCUAAUCCCAUAAAACCGUUCUCAGUUCGGAUUGUAGGCUGCAACUCGCCUACAUGAAGCCGGAAUCGCUAGUAAUCGUGGAUCAGCAUGCCACGGUGAAUACGUUCCCGGGCCUUGUACACACCGUAGUAC